CAGUCGCCACGGUAAAACGAAGGGUGCAAGCGUUAAUCGGAAUUACUGGGCGUAAAGCGUGCGUAGGCGGUUUGUUAAGUCUGUUGUGAAAUCCCCGGGCUCAACCUGGGAAUGGCAAUGGAUACUGGCAAGCUAGAGUGUGUCAGAGGAUGGUGGAAUUCCCGGUGUAGCGGUGAAAUGCGUAGAGAUCGGGAGGAACAUCAGUGGCGAAGGCGGCCAUCUGGGACAACACUGACGCUGAGGCACGAAAGCGUGGGGAGCAAACAGGAUUAGAUACCCCUGUAGUCCCUGUCUCUUAUAC
Molecule: ribosomal RNA, 301 nt
Filed under: uncultured bacterium
Lineage: Bacteria
Description: partial 16S ribosomal RNA
Rfam family: Bacterial small subunit ribosomal RNA
Source: RNAcentral